RNAcentral lists this long non-coding RNA (7270 nucleotides) under Homo sapiens (human). RNAcentral's name for it is "HSALNT0379580". The record is from RNAcentral. Lineage: Eukaryota; Metazoa; Chordata; Mammalia; Primates; Hominidae.
AGGGCACGUCGCCCGCGAGGGGGGUGGCGGGCCCAGGAGGAGGGGACCCCGACAGCCCCUCACCGCCUGCCGGGGCGGGCCGCCACGCUGGACGGGGGCAGCGCGGGGCGGGGUCGGGGGGCGGCAGAAGGCGCCUUUGUGCGUCGCGUCCCCGAGCGUGUCGCGGCGGGCCCGGCACCGGCCCCGCUCCAGCGCCCGCCCCCGGCCCGCGCCCCGGGCCCCGCGCGCAUACCUGGCGAGGCCACGAGGGGAUUCUGCGGGCCGAGCCCCGCCUGGGCUGCGCCGCCGCAGGCGGGAGAGGCUGAGGAUUCUUUUGGGAAGCCCCUCCGCCGGCUGUAACCCCAGGGCCGUGCCACCCUCCUGAUCACCGCAAGCAUGGACCCCCCAGCACGCUGCGGGUGGGACAGGCAGGGCCCCUGUGGGGUGGCUUGACUGGCCUGGAGUUGGGGACGAAGUCCCCGGGCUUGGUCCCCCGAGGGCUUGGUUGGGCGUCCCGGGGUAGGUGGCUGCCGCGGCGAUGUGGGCGGCUUGCGUGUGGCCGAUCGGGGUCGCUGCUGAGCCCCGGAGAGCGGAGGGUCCAGGCUAGGCUGGGGGAGCGAGAGGCGAGGGCGGAGCCGCGGAGGUGUGGGCGGCUUUCGUGGUCCGAGAGGCCCCAGGUUCCCGGCAGGGCGGGGAAGGCUGGGGCGGGGCCAGAGCCGGAGCCGCGAAGCCGCGAUGGAGAGGGCCUGGAGGGUGCGCCAGGAGCCGGCGUCAGGGCCUGCCUCCAUCUCCUCCAACCCCCACCCCAUUUAUUCCUGUAACAAAUCCCUACCGGGAGCUGGCACAGCAGCUGUGCGCUGGGGACACACGAGAUGCUCACCCUCCCUGCCCUCCAGGAGCUUGGACUCAGCUGAGGCUGGAACAUGGCCAGGAUGGCAGUGGGGAGCCAUUGGAGAUGUUUGAGCCGGGGAGUGACAGGGUCAGAUUCGAGUUUUGGAAAGAUAACAUCUUGAGCCAUUAAACAGAUUUCUAGGAUUUCAGGUUUAUUUAUUUAUUUAUUUAGAGACUCACUUCACUCUGUUACCCAGGCUGUAGUGCAGUGGUGCGAUCUCUGCUCACUGCAAUCACUCAAGGCCAAGUGAUUCUCAUGCCUCAGCCUCCUGAGUAGCUGGGACUACAGGCGUGCACCACCAUGCCCAGCUAAUUUUUGUAUUUUUAGUAGAGGCGGGGUUUCGCCAUGUUGGCCAGGCUGGUCUCGAAUUCCUGGCUGGGAUUACAGGCGUGAGCCACCACGCCCUGCUGGAUUUUGGAUUCUUGAUACGUAUCAUCAACCACUCUCCAGAGUUUGGCCAGCUUCACGCUCCAUCAGUGGUCUCACCAUAGACCUUCUAAUCUUGAUUGUGUUGGCUGGUGUCUAUUUUCUAAUGGUGUUUGGUUUUGGAACCUGCAUUUCUUUGAAAAAGAGUGAGCAUGUGCAUUUUCCCAGAUGCCUGGUAUCCAACUGCACUUCUCCAUGUGUGCAUUGUCCCCUGAGCUGGCAAGAAGAUCCUACUAGUUGGUCUGCAUGCCAUGCCAGCUCGGCCUUGCACCCUGGGGGCCCAGCUGUUGUCCACACCAAGGGUGGCCUACAGAGGGAAGUGAGGACCUUGGGACUUCCUCCAGGACAGCCCUCGCUGUCCAAAUCUCCACCUGCUGCAGAGCUGCCUCCAGUCAAGCCCUUGUUUCCAGCUUUCUGUGCCCUAAAUAAACUUCUGCUGGGAUUGAGCCAUCAGCAUUCUGUGGUGGGCGUCGCUGCUGCGAGGUUGCCCUCGUGCACACAAGCUCCUCACAGGACUUCCAGGAUGAUAUGGAAGAGUGACUGAGAGCAGCCGCCCGGUGCUUCCCAACCUUAGAGGGAGGUCACGGGCAGUCUCCCUGCGAUGCUGGCCACAGGUGUGAGGAAGACAGUCCUUAUAGGAAAAUGCCCUCUCGUUCUUAUUCUCUACUUUAAAAAAUCUUUAAAUCAUGAGUAUAAUAAAUGUUAUCAAAUGCCAUAGGUCUCGCUGUGUCGCCCAGGCUGGAGGGCAGUGGUGUGAUCUGGACUCACUGCAGCCUCGACCUGUUGGGCUCAAGUGAUCCUCUCACGUCAGCCUCCAAGUAGCCAAGACCACAGGCAGGCGUCACCAUGCCCAGCCCCCAUGAUGACUUUACUUUUCUUCUUGAACCUGGUGAAUUUCUGUGUUAACAUGUCUGAUUUGAACCCUUCUGAUAUUCCUGAGAUAAACUUUAUGUGACCUUGGUAUUCUGUUGGAUUUUGGUUAGCUGAUACUUCAAGAUUUUUAUAAAACUGGGUUGCAAUUUAUUUGUGUUCCCGUUUCUAGCUGUCUAUGAGCUUCAUCAAAUGGGCAGGACCACUUUCCCUUAACUUCUCCUUUUCUGGAACAACGGACAUAUCCUGUGGAUUAUCUGUUCCCCACAGGUUUGGGAUAUGGGUGCUGUGAAUGCCACUGUGCUGGGGGCUUUGGGAAGUGUGUGUUUGUUUUCGUGCGUGUGCGGUGGGAUACAGGUGUGGUUACUACUUUGAUUUCUUUCUUUCUUUUUUUUUUUUUUUUUUUUGAGAUGGAGUCUCACUCUGUUGCCCAGGCUGAAGUGCAAUGGCGCGAUCAUGACUCACUGCAACCUCCGCCUCCUGGGUUCAAGCGACUCUCCUGCCUCAGCCUCCAGAGUUGCUGGGAUUACAGGCACCCACAACCAUACCCUAAAUUUUGUACUUUUAGUAAAGAUGGGGUUUCACCAUUUGGCCAGGCUUGUCUUGAACUCCCAAUUACCAAUUUCUUAUGUGUCCUUUUGAAGACUUUCUAAGUACGACCAACCUAGUAAAGUGAGUCACCCACCACUGUUUUGUUUGUUUUUGUUUGUUUGUUUGUUUUUUAGAAUGGGGUUUCACCUUGUUGCCCAGGCUAGUCUUGAACUCUUGGGCUCCAGCAAUCUACCCUCCUCAGCUUCCCAAAGUGCUGGGAUUAUAGGCAUGAGCCACCAUGCCUGGCCCCACCACUCAUUCUUAACCUCUUCUUCUUUGCCUUUCUCUGUUGCAGAGUCCUGGAAGUUAAAUGCUCUAUUUCCCAGCCUCCCUUGCAGCUAGGAGCAGUCAUGUGACUCCAUUCUGGCCAACGAGAUACAAGAAACACUUGCUGACAGGUGCAAUCAGAAAGCGUUUGCUUUUCCAGUAACAUGUAGGACCAGUCACCUUUUUGCAUUUCCCCUUUCUUCUUGAUUCGAACAUUGCAUUGCCGUCAUGUUUGGAGAUGAGUCAGCCAUCUUGCAAAUAGGAGGCAGCAAGACUGAGGGAAAUGCCAUCCUGCUUCAGAGGGCAGAAUGGAAAGAGAAGCCUAAGAUGGCAAUGGUACGGUUGGGCAGCUGAGUCAGGACUGGGGCCACUGCCUCUCGGUUUCAAGGGAGAAAAAUAAACCCCUGUUUGUUGGCCUCAUGCUAGGUUGGAUUUUCUUUUACUUAAAGCCAAGACAUUUCUAACAUACAAAACCAGACACAUGUGCAUGCCACACGUACAUCACAAGUGAUCACAUGCUGUCCGACUAGCACCUCGAUUUUUCCACUGAACCAUCAGUCUUGCAGAUCAUCCUUUAUCAGUGCCUGGCAACUUGUCUUGCCCUUGUUUUCUUGGGUUUUUGUUUUUGUUUUUGUUUAAGACAAGGUCUCAUCUGUUGCCCAGGCUGGAGUGCAUUGGCACAAUCAUAGCUCACUACAGCCUGGACCUUCUGGGCUCAGCAGUCCUCCGUCCUCAGCCUCCCGAGUAGCUGGUACUAAAGGCAUGUGCCACCAUGCCCGGCUAAUUUUCACAUGUUCUUUUAGAGACUGGGUCUUGCUUUGUUGCCCAGGCUGGUCUUGAACUCCUGGACUCAAGCAGUCCCCCUGCCUAGGCCUCCCAAACUGCUGACACUACAGGCAUGAGCCACUCCACCCAGCCUCGUUUUUGUUAAUGGCAGUAUACCACCACUCUGGAUGUGUAAUAUGAUUUAUUUAACCAGCCUCAUCGACCUUUUGAGUUGUUUCCAAACUCUUUGCUAUUGAGGUAGGAAACAGAACUCAACUCUGGAGGUAGGGCUCAGACACUGGACCAAAUUGAGGACUACCUAAGCAGGUCCAGGGCAGAGGCACCUCCCUAUAAGACACACCCACCAGUGUGCCAUGUCAGUUUACCACUACCAUGGCAACAUCUAGAAGUUAUGGCAUCUUUCCAUGGCAAUGACCUGGCAACCCAGAAGUUACCACCCUCACCCUAGAAAUGUCUGCAUAAACUACCCCUUAAUUUGCAUGUAAUUAAAAGUGGGUAUAAAUCUGAGUGCAGAGCUGCCUCUGAGCGCUGCUCUGGGCAUACUGCCUGUGGGUGGCCCUGCUCCACAAGGGACAGUUCCUGUGUUGCUGCCAUGCAUGGCUGCUCUGCUAUGCACAGCAGCUUGCCUCUGAAUUCUUCCCUGGGUGAAGCCAGGAACCCUCCUGGGCUAAGCCCCGAUUUGGGGGUGUGCCUGCCCUGCACCACUGUUAUGGACAAUGCUACAAUGAAUAACCUUGCACAUACCUCACUUCACACACGAGAACAUAUCCAUAGGAUAAGUUCCUCGCAGUGAAGAUUGUUGUCUUAUGAUGUUCAACCACUGGAUCUGAGAACACGAUAUGCCUUUCAUUCUCUCAGGUCUCCUUUCAUGUCCCUCAGUGGAUUUAAAGUGUUCUUCUUUUUGAUUGUACAUGUUUCUUUUUAGGUUUAUUCCUAGGUUUUAUUUUUUUUUUUUUGGUGCUGUGGUAAAUGAGAUAUUUUUUCUCAUCAAUAUUCCUGCUCACAAGUCAUUUUUUAUGUAGAUGAAGGCUAAUUAUCAUGUUACUUUCGUCCCAGCCACAAAACUUUUUUUUUUUUUUUUUAGAUGGAGUCUCGCUCUGUCACCCAGGCCGGAGUGCAGUGGUGUGAUCUUGGCUCACUGCAAGCUCUGCCUCCAGAGUUCACACCAUUCUCCUGCCUCAGCCUCCUGAGUAGCUGGGACUACAGGCACCUGCCACCAGGCCCGGCUAAUUGUUUUUGUAUUUUCAGUAGAGAUGGGGUUUCACUGUGUUAGCCAAGAUGGUCUUGAUCUCCUGACCUCGUGAUCCGCCCACCUCGGCCUCCCAAAGUGCUGGAAUUACAGGUGUGAGCCACCGUGCCCGGCCUCCAGCCACAAAACUUAAAUAUUGUUUGUCAUAGAAAUUAAAUUGAUUCUCUUGGAUUUUCCAAGGACUUAAUCAUGUCAUCUGCAAAAAGUGAUAUUGUAUUUCCUCCUUUGCAUUUUUUAAACUUAAUUUCUUUCUCUCUUCCAAUUGCAAAAAAAUUAAAUAACAGUGAUGAUAGAAGACACCUUCCUGAGCUUUCACCUUGACAGAGAUGCUUCUAGUAUCUUCCCCAUUUGACACAGGAGUAGCUUUGAGGCUGACAUAAAUGAAUGGCAGCACAUUGAGAAAGUAUUACUGAGAAUGCAAGUUGAUUCUGGGCACGACGAGUAAUGAGAUUUAUACUUAGCCUCCUGCCAUAAACAACGAUAAAGUUGGGCCAAAUGUAUAAGGCAGUUAUGUACAGGAAUUGGACAACUGGUAGGACUGUGAUAGCUGAGAGAAGGGAAAUACCUGAAGUGAGUCCAAGUUUGCCCUGUCUUUUUACCUUGGGUUUUCCUACCAAGGUAUGAGAGAUAAAGCCGCAGCAGAGAUCAUCAGCCAGCGAUCACUGGCUGGGAAAGCAGAGAUCAGUGCUGAGGUGGCUACGAUUGGUAGAGCAGGGCACUGGAGGGGAGGGUGCUACGUAGAAUGAGGGUGCAGAGGCUGCAUGGGGGUCCCUCAGGUCCCUGGAUGAGGCCAGGCUGUACAUGUGCAAGGUGAUCCUUCACAAGGCCUAGCGGGAAGCUGCUGCUGUGGGGCUGGGAGCUGACAGACAAGCCCAGCAGUGUGCAGUGCUAGGCGACAUUGCAGUUCUUGCCCAGCUAGGGUGGAGAAACCUCACCAAGCCCCUCAGGCAAUCAGUUGAGAAAUCAGAAAGGCCAUGGCUUAAGAAUAAGAAUCGCACUCCAGAAUAAUGGCCAAAGCACAGAACUAAGAACACAACCAAAACAGACUCACCCUUACAAAGCAUAAAAUCAAGCCUGCAGUGAUAUCAGCAAAAUGAUGGAAUUGGAAGCUCUGGACUCUCCUUUUCAAAACCAUGAACACAUCAACUCAACAACAAUUCCUGAAAAUUCCCUUUGCAAGAAAUCCAGAAACUAGCUGAGCAUCUCACGCAUUCCAGACAGGAAAACAAUGUAUGAACAAUGGGAGAAUUUCAACAAAGAGACAGAAAAUGCUAAAAAGUACCAAACAGAAAUCAUGGAGCUGAAGAAUAUGAUAACUGCACUGAAAAAGUCACUAGAUGAGGGGAACAGUAGACUGGAUCAAGCAGAAAAAAGGAUCAGUGAACUCAAAGAAAGGUCAUUGGAAAUUAAUCAUAGGAGCAAACGGAAAAAAAGAAAAAGAGUAAAGAAAGUAGAAGGGACUUAUGGGACACCAUCAAUCAGACCAAUAGAUGCAUUAAGGGAGUCCCAGAAAGAUAAGGGAAAGAAUCAUUAUAUUCAAAGAAAUAACGGUUGAAAACUCCUCAGAUCUGUGGAAGAAAAUGGACACCCAGAUUCAAGAAGCCCAAAAGAUCCCAAAUAAGAUGAACUCAAAGACAUUUACAGCAAGGGACAUUAAAAUCAAGUUGUCAAAGACAAAGAAUUAGAAAGCAGCAGGGAAAAGUGACUUGUCACAUUUAAAAGAAUCUCCAUAAGAAAUAAGCUAAUUUUUCAGAAAUCUUGCAAACCAGAGGGAAUGGGAUGACAUACUCAAAGUGCUGACAUUUUUAAAACUACCAAGCAAGAAUACUGUGCCUGGGAAAAAACUGUCUUUCAGAAAUGAAGAUGAGCGACAUACUUUCCAGACAAACAAAAGCUGACACUGUUCUUCACUAUGAACUUGCCUUGUAAGAAAUAAUGAAGGGAGUUAUUUCACUGGAAAUGAAAGGACAAUAAACAGCAACAUGAUAGCAUAAGAAAACAUAAAACUCUUUUUAUUUAUUUGUUUUUUGUUUUUGGUUUUUUUUGAGAUGGAGUUUCGCUCUUGUCGCCCAGGCUAGAGUACAAUGACACCAUCUCAGCUCACUACAACCUCCACCUCCCAGGUUCAAGCAAUUCUCCUGCCUCAGCCUCCCAAGUAGCUGGGAUUACAGGCAUGCGCCACCACACCCGGCUAAUUUUUGUAUUUUUAG